GAUUUCUGGUUUAAUGCACCUGGCCCGCAGCCCUCAAGGCUUGUGAGUGCCGGCGCGCGUUUACCAUCCUUCUAGAAAUCAACUCUGCCAUUUACUUGGUGGGGUUGCAAUUCUAGAUCAUUUACUUUGAAAAAAUUAGAGUGUUUAAAGCAGGCUUUUGCUAUGAAUACAUUAGCAUGGAAUAAUAAUCUAGGACUUCGGUUCUAUUUUGUUGGUUUCUAUAACUGAAGUAAUGAUUGAUAGGGACAGUUGGGGGUGCUAGUAUUGGCCGGCCAGAGGUGAAAUUCUUGGAUUCGGUCAAGACUAACUUAUGCGAAAGCAUU
RNAcentral lists this ribosomal RNA (323 nucleotides) under uncultured Rhogostoma. RNAcentral's name for it is "SSU rRNA". The stretch from base 113 to 323 matches the Rfam family "Eukaryotic small subunit ribosomal RNA", at positions 743 to 955 of the family's 1831-position model. Lineage: Eukaryota; Cercozoa; Thecofilosea; Cryomonadida. The record is from RNAcentral.